Molecule: ribosomal RNA, 253 nt
Filed under: uncultured bacterium
Lineage: Bacteria
Description: partial 16S ribosomal RNA
Rfam family: Bacterial small subunit ribosomal RNA
Source: RNAcentral
UACGUAGGGUGCAAGCGUUGUCCGGAAUUAUUGGGCGUAAAGAGCUCGUAGGCGGUUGGAUAAGUCAGCUGUGAAAACCACGGGCUUAACUCGUGGCCUGCAGUUGAGACUGUCUGGCUUGAGUGUGGGAGAGGAGAGUGGAAUUCCUGGUGUAGCGGUGAAAUGCGUAGAUAUCGGGAGGAACACCGGUGGCGAAGGCGGCUCUCUGGACCACAACUGACGCUGAGGCGCGAAAGCUAGGGGAGCAAACAGG